AGAGAUUGAAGCUGGGAUGGUGCAGAAACGGUAUGUUGCGAAGGUCAUUGGGAUAUUUCCAGAGGAUGAGCAAGUUGUUGAUGUUAACAUAAAUUAUAAUGCUCGAGAAGGAAGGAGCACAGUAGAGGUUGGUGAUUCUUGCGGUGAAUCUCCCACCAGAGGGAAGCCUGCAUGUACCAAGUUUACUAGGAUCAGCACCAAUGGAACUCACAGCAUUGUUUUGUGUAAACCUAUCACUGGCCGAACUCAUCAAAUACGUGCGCAUUUGCAGUAUACAGGCCAUCCCAUAGCCAACGACUUUCUUUACCUCUCCAAAAAUGCCACCAAUCGAUCUGCUGAAGGAAUGAGUGCUGAUAGAGCUGCACGUAGUUCAAGCUUUUGUCUAACAUCCCCUGAUUGUUGUU
This 404-nucleotide unclassified non-coding RNA is filed under the name Hevea brasiliensis (rubber tree). Lineage: Eukaryota; Viridiplantae; Streptophyta; Magnoliopsida; Malpighiales; Euphorbiaceae. The record is from RNAcentral.